RNAcentral lists this ribosomal RNA (365 nucleotides) under uncultured eukaryote. RNAcentral describes it as "partial 18S ribosomal RNA". It matches the Rfam family "Eukaryotic small subunit ribosomal RNA", at positions 592 to 976 of the family's 1831-position model. The record is from RNAcentral.
CAAUAGCGUAUAUUUAAGUUGUUGCAGUUAAAAAGCUCGUAGUCGGAUUUUGGCUGAGAACGAUCGGUCCGCCGUUAGGUGUGCACUGAUUGGUCUCAGCUUCCUGGUGAGGAGGUGUGCUUCACGGCCACUUAGUCACCGUGGUUACUUUGAAAAAAUUAGAGUGUUCAAAGCGGGCUUACGCUUGAAUAUAUUAGCAUGGAAUAACACCAUAGGACUCCUGUCCUAUUUCGUUGGUCUCGGGACGGGAGUAAUGAUUAAGAGGAACAGUUGGGGGCAUUCGUAUUUCAUUGUCAGAGGUGAAAUUCUUGGAUUUAUGAAAGACGAACUUCUGCGAAAGCAUUUGCCAAGGAUGUUUCCAUUGA